Long non-coding RNA from Daphnia pulicaria, 649 nucleotides. RefSeq lists it as uncharacterized. The transcript is spliced from 3 exons. Lineage: Eukaryota; Metazoa; Arthropoda; Branchiopoda; Diplostraca; Daphniidae. The record is from RefSeq and is a predicted model, not a curated record.
UCGGUUUCGAAAAAGACUAAAAGAGACAAAGUUUAAGAUUUCAAAUUAAAUGAAACGAUACGUGGGCUGUACGAAAAAUAGCAGUGAGUUCACAUCAAAUUACAAAAAAAUGUGUUCGUCGAGUAAACUUUGUGUCGUGGCUCUUUAAUAGAAUCGCCUAAAUCACAUUCACACUUCAUACUUUUUAGCGGAUUUGAGUCCUGAACCACAGCCAACGUAACAACAAGAUAUUCCAGUUUUGCUUCUGCUGGAACUGUCAUCUCAGCAACAACCUUUGCAUCACCACUUGGAUAAACAGCAUCCCUGUUGAUUGGAGAUUCUAACCAUGGCCGAGCUACGUAUCUCUUCCUUCGUCUCCCUUUCUUUAAAUGUUUUCGUGUACACUUCAUGUGAAUGUGGGUGUAUUCACGAGGACCCCUUUUCUCCCUAUCACGCCUGGUGGACUCAACUUUUCAGCGGAUGGAUGGAUCACUUGUGGAAGGAUACCUGGCUGAAUUUCCAAAGUUCAAAAGUAGGAAAAACAUUUAUCUCUAUUCCUCUUUCUGACUAUUGAGUGGGCGUUGAUUAUGAAUCGUUACCGAGUACGAUUAUUCCUGAUCUAUAUGCGGUUAUUGACUGGAACUGUUAUCUCUUGCCGUUUUCGUCGACU